AUAAAACAGAAAGUGAGUUUUUAACCUCUCAAAAUACCUCUUAAUAUAUGUCAACGUUAGCCAUCUUUGAACUUGUCCGAGGUCUGUGUUCCAAGAAUGUUCCCUGUGAAUUUGAAGACUGUGGCAGUAAAACAACUGGACUUAUGCUGAACACAGACAGACGGACAGACAUACAGACGGACGCCAGGUCUUCACAAUAGCCAAUGGCCAUAUGGCCUCCGGUAAAAAUGCUGUUAGAGUGAAACAAAGAAGGAUCACAUUAAGAAGAAGAGGUGAAAUUUCAGGUCUAGUUUGUCAGAUGUAUCAGAGGACACUGGAGCCUAGAUUUAAUGUUUAUGUUUUAAAAAGGUUCUUCUUUGUGCCACUUCAAACAAAGGUUGCCCUGUGUCCAGUUUCUCCAAUCAUAUUGUAAUGGCUGUUGCAUAACUAGAGACACCUGAGCAGUAAGCAACAGAAGUGAAAAGUUCAAAUGUUCUUUAUUUACAGCUGGCUAAAGCUGUUACAGCAUGUGAAGUACCCACCCAUUCACAUUAAUGUUGGGGUAGAAACAGCUGUUGAUGUGGUUUGUAAUACAGGAGUGCAUUUGGUACAUAAUUAAUGAGUUUAAACAGCAACAAUGUCCGUGAGGACAGCAGGAAAAGGAGAAUCCAACGACGUUAGCAGACAAUCGACACACAGUAAUUAAACACACCAAGCAGGAAAUCCAUUAGACGGCAGGCUAAACUCGGAAGAAACAGGGAGGCAACAGAGAUCGGCAACUGGAGAUCAAACACUAGAAAUAAAAACGAGAAAGCAGGUAUAAGAACGAGACAAUCUGGCAUUGGAGUGAAGGAUUUGUGACAAUUUUACUGUAACUCAGUUAACUGGGAAAUGAGUGUUCAUGUGAAACCGGAAUCCUGAAUGCCCAUGACGUGACGCAAACAACAUGCACUAGGAGCAGAACUGUCCAAAUAAAAGCACAAGGAGAAUAGCAACACUAAGGAGCACAAAACACAAGAUAGACACUAAAAAUAUAGCACGCAGGAGAUAAAAUUAGAAGAAAUAGAAACGCAGAAGACCAGAACAUGAACCAUGACACAUAUCCACAGAACCUUGUGACUCCUAGGUCUUCAUCAACCUCUAGAAGGUUCCCUCUCUCAUCUGCAUAGUUUACUAUGACUCUGUAUUUGAUACUCUAAAUAAAAUCACACUACCGUACUGUUUUGAUUUAUUUCAGUAAACUCCAAGAGAUAUUCAGUGACUUGGAAAUGUUCACGUAUUUAUCCCCUGACUGCUUGGGGGAGACACCCAGCUGUUAAAGUAAUAAUUUAGAUGUUGCUUCUAAGUAUUUGCACAGACUUUUUUGCAAUGGUCUUGUGCUUUGUGAUCUGUAUUUUAGAUAUUGUCUUUCUAAAUUAUUUGUUUUCCAUUGUUCAUGAGAGGAAACAGUCUACUAGUUGACUUAGACAUAAUGUGAUUAUUAGGAGGUGAUACAGUUUUGGAUCACUUGACAUUUAAGUGAUAUUGCACAGAGGUGUACUCACUUCUGUCGUAUACUGAGUGCAGCGUAUAACUCAACACAAAGGAUAAGAACUGGGAAAAAAAUCAUUUAUUUUCAAGAUGAUUUUUAAAAAGAGGCACUCUUUCCAAUUUUCAAAACAUCAAACAGAAACAAGCCGAGCAAGUGUGUUUUGGUUUGAAGGCUUGUGAGCGAGCGCCACUCCCUCCUGCAGAUCGUGCACAGUCACUUUUCAUGUAUGUCUAAAUUCAUGCUUUCAGAACAACACAAUGGGGCAGUUAUAA
Long non-coding RNA from Thalassophryne amazonica, 1782 nucleotides. RefSeq lists it as uncharacterized. The record is from RefSeq and is a predicted model, not a curated record. The transcript has 3 exons. Lineage: Eukaryota; Metazoa; Chordata; Actinopteri; Batrachoidiformes; Batrachoididae.